GGCCUGCGCGGAAGAUGUAACGGGGCUAAACCAUGCACCGAAGCUGCGGCAGCGACACUAUGUGUUGUUGGGUAGGGGAGCGUUCUGUAAGCCUGUGAAGGUGUACUGUGAGGUAUGCUGGAGGUAUCAGAAGUGCGAAUGCUGACAUAAGUAACGAUAAAGCGGGUGAAAAGCCCGCUCGCCGGAAGACCAAGGGUUCCUGUCCAACGUUAAUCGGGGCAGGGUGAGUCGACCCCUAAGGCGAGGCCGAAAGGCGUAGUCGAUGGGAAACAGGUUAAUAUUCCUGUACUUGGUGUUACUGCGAAGGGGGGACGGAGAAGGCUAUGUUGGCCGGGCGACGGUUGUCCCGGUUUAAGCGUGUAGGCUGAUUUUCCAGGCAAAUCCGGAAAAUCAAGGCUGAGGCGUGAUGACGAGGCACUACGGUGCUGAAGCAACAAAUGCCCUGCUUCCAGGAAAAGCCUCUAAGCAUCAGGUAACAUCAAAUCGUACCCCAAACCGACACAGGUGGUCAGGUAGAGAAUACCAAGGCGCUUGAGAGAACUCGGGUGAAGGAACUAGGCAAAAUGGUGCCGUAACUUCGGGAGAAGGCACGCUGAUAUGUAGGUGAAGCGACUUGCUCGUGGAGCUGAAAUCAGUCGAAGAUACCAGCUGGCUGCAACUGUUUAUUAAAAACACAGCACUGUGCAAACACGAAAGUGGACGUAUACGGUGUGACGCCUGCCCGGUGCCGGAAGGUUAAUUGAUGGGGUUAGCGGUAACGCGAAGCUCUUGAUCGAAGCCCCGGUAAACGGCGGCCGUAACUAUAACGGUCCUAAGGUAGCGAAAUUCCUUGUCGGGUAAGUUCCGACCUGCACGAAUGGCGUAAUGAUGGCCAGGCUGUCUCCACCCGAGACUCAGUGAAAUUGAACUCGCUGUGAAGAUGCAGUGUACCCGCGGCAAGACGGAAAGACCCCGUGAACCUUUACUAUAGCUUGACACUGAACAUUGAGCCUUGAUGUGUAGGAUAGGUGGGAGGCUUUGAAGUGUGGACGCCAGUCUGCAUGGAGCCGACCUUGAAAUACCACCCUUUAAUGUUUGAUGUUCUAACGUUGGCCCGUUAUCCGGGUUGCGGACAGUGUCUGGUGGGUAGUUUGACUGGGGCGGUCUCCUCCUAAAGA
This 1157-nucleotide ribosomal RNA is filed under the name Escherichia coli. RNAcentral's name for it is "partial 23S ribosomal RNA". It matches the Rfam family "Bacterial large subunit ribosomal RNA", at positions 1156 to 2296 of the family's 2925-position model. The record is from RNAcentral. Lineage: Bacteria; Pseudomonadati; Pseudomonadota; Gammaproteobacteria; Enterobacterales; Enterobacteriaceae.